AUUGAAUUGCCGCCGGGUAACGUCUCAGUCUGUUCCAUUAGGCCAUAGAAGGAACAGAUAUGGAGACGUUUUUUUC
Molecule: non-coding RNA, 76 nt
Filed under: unclassified sequences
Source: RNAcentral